RNAcentral lists this transfer RNA (76 nucleotides) under Deltaproteobacteria bacterium. RNAcentral describes it as "tRNA-Thr". It matches the Rfam family "tRNA". Rfam says of the family: Transfer RNA (tRNA) molecules are approximately 80 nucleotides in length. Their secondary structure includes four short double-helical elements and three loops (D, anti-codon, and T loops). Further hydrogen bonds mediate the characteristic L-shaped molecular structure. tRNAs have two regions of fundamental functional importance: the anti-codon, which is responsible for specific mRNA codon recognition, and the 3' end, to which the tRNAs corresponding amino acid is attached (by aminoacyl-tRNA synthetases). tRNAs cope with the degeneracy of the genetic code in two manners: having more than one tRNA (with a specific anti-codon) for a particular amino acid; and 'wobble' base-pairing, i.e. permitting non-standard base-pairing at the 3rd anti-codon position. Lineage: Bacteria; Pseudomonadati; Myxococcota; Myxococcia. The record is from RNAcentral.
GCCGACGUAGCUCAGUUGGUAGAGCAACGCUUUCGUAAAGCGUAGGUCUCCGGUUCGAGUCCGGACGUCGGCACCA